Molecule: ribosomal RNA, 32 nt
Filed under: Opisthorchis sp. AVK-2013
Lineage: Eukaryota; Metazoa; Platyhelminthes; Trematoda; Opisthorchiida; Opisthorchiidae
Description: partial 5.8S ribosomal RNA
Source: RNAcentral
GUACAACUCUGAGCGGUGGAUCACUCGGCUCG